RNAcentral lists this long non-coding RNA (438 nucleotides) under Sorghum bicolor (sorghum). Its description in RNAcentral is "long non-coding RNA (SBIC_LNC003356)". Lineage: Eukaryota; Viridiplantae; Streptophyta; Magnoliopsida; Poales; Poaceae. The record is from RNAcentral.
ACAUGGUUGUGCAUUCAUGCUGGAAUUAAUUAAUUUAUUUACUUGCUUGUUUGCUUUUUGUCUAUGUAUUUUGUUUAUCUCCAAAAGGAUUUAAAAUCUCUUUUCAAAAAGACUUUAGAAAACAAAGGAGAAAUAGGAAAAAGAAAACAGAAAAGAAAAAGAAAAAAAAGGGAAAGGCAAACCCAGCCAGACCCACCCCCGGCCUGUUUCUUUCCCCCCCGCACGCGGCCCACUUCCAACUCCCCCGGCCUGCUAAGCGCGGCCCACCAAGCCAGGCCCGCGCGCGCCUUUCCUCUCUCUCUCUCUAGCGCUCGGGCCCCACCUGUCAGCGCGCGCUGUUCCUCUUCUUCACCGUGAUGGAGCCGGUUUCCUCCACCGAAUCCUCCUCUAUCCCGAUUUGUGCGGGAUUUGUCUUCCUUGACCUCCUAUAAAGCAUCU